This 400-nucleotide unclassified non-coding RNA is filed under the name soil metagenome. Its description in RNAcentral is "partial contains 5.8S ribosomal RNA, internal transcribed spacer 2, and large subunit ribosomal RNA". The stretch from base 1 to 122 matches the Rfam family "5.8S ribosomal RNA", at positions 35 to 154 of the family's 154-position model. The record is from RNAcentral.
GAUGAAGAACGUAGCGAAAUGCGAUAUUUGGUGUGAAUUGCAGAAUCCCGUGAACCAUCGAGUCUUUGAACGCAAGUUGCGCCUCAAGCCAUUAGGUUGAGGGCACGUCUGCCUGGGCGUCACAUAUCGUUGCCUGAUGCCAGUUUCCUCGUGAUGGGUGACUGUGCAGGGCGAAUGAUGGCUUCCCGUGAGCAUUGUUGCCUCAUGGUUGGUUGAAAAUUGAGUCCUUGGUAGGGAGCGCCGUGAUAGAUGGUGGUUGAGUGACGAACGAGACCCAAUCAUGUGAGACCCCUACCGAAUUUGGCCUUCAUGACCCACAUGCGUCUUUGGAACGCUCAUGACGAGACCUCAGGUCAGGCGGGGCUACCCGCUGAGUUUAAGCAUAUCAAUAAGCGGAGGA